UUGGAGGGCAAGUCUGGUGCCAGCAGCCGCGGUAAUUCCAGCUCCAAUAGCGUAUAUUAAAGUUGUUGCAGUUAAAAAGCUCGUAGUUGAAUUUCGGAAUCUGUCCGUCGGUCGGGCUUCACUGUCCGUACUGGUGUGAUGGGUUUCUACCUUCUGAAUAACCGGCAUGUCAUUAAUUUGGUGCGCCGGGGAAGCAGAACUAUUACCUUGAAAAAAUUAGAGUGCUUAAAGCAGGCUAUCGCCUGAAUAGAUUAGCAUGGAAUAAUAAAAUAGGACGGCAUGGUUCUAUUUUGUUGGUUUCUAGGAUCACCGUAAUGAUUAAUAGGGAUAGUUGGGGGCAUUAGUAUUCAAUUGUCAGAGGUGAAAUUCUUGGAUUUAUUGAAGACUAACUUCCGCGAAAGCAUUUGCCAAGGAUGUUUUCAUUAAUCAAGAACGAAAGUUAGGGGAUCGAAGACGAUCAGAUACCGUCGUAGUCUUAACCAUAAACUAUGCCGACUAGGGAUCGGACGAUGUUAAUUUUUUAAUGACUCGUUCGGCGCCUUACGGGAAAC
RNAcentral lists this ribosomal RNA (551 nucleotides) under uncultured Glomeromycotina. RNAcentral's name for it is "SSU rRNA". It matches the Rfam family "Eukaryotic small subunit ribosomal RNA", at positions 548 to 1098 of the family's 1831-position model. Lineage: Eukaryota; Fungi; Glomeromycota. The record is from RNAcentral.